CUUGGUGGAACCCCAUGGGGACCUGGUGGAGCCCCAUGGGGACCUGGGGGACUUGGUGGAACCCCAUGGGGACCUUGUGGAACCCCAUAGGGACCUUGUAGAACCCCAUGGGGACCUCCUGGAGCUCCAUGGGGUCCAUAGGGACCUGGUGGAGCUCCAUAGGGACCUGGUGGAGCUCCAUGGGGUCCAUAGGAACCUUUGGAGCCCCAUGGGGACCUGGGGGAGGUGACAGCCCCAUGGGGACCUCAUGGGAACCCCAUGGGGAU
Oxyura jamaicensis (ruddy duck) is the source of this 266-nucleotide long non-coding RNA. RefSeq lists it as uncharacterized. NCBI's taxonomy places the organism in Eukaryota, Metazoa, Chordata, Aves, Anseriformes, Anatidae. The record is from RefSeq and is a predicted model, not a curated record. The transcript has 4 exons.